RNAcentral lists this ribosomal RNA (508 nucleotides) under Grosmannia pruni. RNAcentral's name for it is "LSU rRNA". It matches the Rfam family "Eukaryotic large subunit ribosomal RNA", at positions 95 to 611 of the family's 3401-position model. The record is from RNAcentral. Lineage: Eukaryota; Fungi; Ascomycota; Sordariomycetes; Ophiostomatales; Ophiostomataceae.
GAAGCGGCAACAGCUCAGAUUUGGAAUCUGGCCCCCAGGGCCCGAGUUGUAAUCUGGAGAGGAUGCUUCUGGCGCGGCGCCUUCCGAGUUCCCUGGAACGGGACGCCGGAGAGGGUGAGAGCCCCGUACGGUCGGACGCCCAGCCUUUGUGAAGCUCCUUCGACGAGUCGAGUAGUUUGGGAAUGCUGCUCAAAAUGGGAGGUAAAUUUCUUCUAAAGCUAAAUACCGGCCAGAGACCGAUAGCGCACAAGUAGAGUGAUCGAAAAGAUGAAAAAGCACUUUGAAAAGAGGGUUAAACAGUACGUGAAAAUUUGUUAAAAGGGAAGCGCCCGUGGCCAGACUUGCGCCCCGCGGACCACCCGGCGUUCUCGCCGGUGCACUCCGCGAGGCGCAGGCCAGCAUCGGUCUCCCAGGGGGACAAAGGCUGCGGGACGUAGCUCCUACGGGAGUGUUAUAGCCCGCGGCUGCCAUGCCCCUGGGGGGACCGAGGACCGCGCUUCGGCAAGUG